CAGUAAACGGCGGCCGUAACUAUAACGGUCCUAAGGUAGCGAAAUUCCUUGUCGGGUAAGUUCCGACCUGCACGAAUGGUGUAACGACUUGGGCACUGUCUCAACCAGGAACUCGGUGAAAUUGUAGUGGCGGUGAAGAUGCCGCCUACCCGCGAACGGACGGAAAGACCCCGUGAACCUUUACUGCAUCUUGGUAUUGUAAUUUGGUAAAGUAUGUGUAGGAUAGGUGGGAGACUAAGAAUAUGGUACGCCAGUAUCGUAGGAGUCAUUGUUGAAAUACCACCCUUAUUUUAUUGAGUUACUAACGCGUUUAGUUAUCCUGAAUGCGGACAUUGCCAGGAGGGCAGUUUGACUGGGGCGGUCGCCUCCUAAAAAGUAACGGAGGCUUACAAAGGUUCCCUCAGGCUGGUUGGUAAUCAGCCGAAGAGCAUAAAGGUAUAAGGGAGCUUGACUGCGAGACCGACGGGUCGAGCAGAUGGGAAACCAGGUCUUAGUGAUCCGGCGGCUCUGAAUGGAAGGGCCGUUGCUCAAAGGAUAAAAGGUACUCCGGGGAUAACAGGCUGAUACCGCCCAAGAGUUCACAUCGACGGCGGUGUUUGGCACCUCGAUGUCGGCUCAUCACAUCCUGGGGCUGAAGCAGGUCCCAAGGGUUCGGCUGUUCGCCGAUUAAAGUGGUACGUGAGCUGGGUUUAAAACGUCGUGAGACAGUUUGGUCCUUAUCUGUUGCGGGCGCAGGAUAUUUGAGGAGAUCUUUCCCUAGUACGAGAGGACCGGGAUGGACGAACCUCUGGUGUUCCAGUUGUCGCGCCAGCGGCAUAGCUGGGUAGCUAUGUUCGGAAGGGAUAACCGCUGAAAGCAUCUAAGUGGGAAGCCCAUUCCAAGAUAAGAUCUCUCUGAUUAAAUCAAUAAGAUCACUUGAAGACUACGAGUUAGAUAGGCAGGAGGUGUAGGCAUGGUAACAUGUAAAGCUGACCUGUACUAAUUGAUCGAAAGUUUUAUAAU
RNAcentral lists this ribosomal RNA (1002 nucleotides) under metagenome. Its description in RNAcentral is "bacterial LSU rRNA". It matches the Rfam family "Bacterial large subunit ribosomal RNA", at positions 1921 to 2925 of the family's 2925-position model. The record is from RNAcentral.